ACUCAAGAGAGCCAUGACAUUAUGUUCUUUACAAGUGUAUGUAAACUUUUGACCACGACUGUAGAUCCUUUAAUGGUCCUUUGCAGGAAUUCCAGUGCCACAGCAUUUUCAGGACAGAGACAACACCAUACAUGUCCUCAAAUAACUUCCAUACAUAAUAGAUUAAAAAUAAACAAUAAGUACUAAAAACAUUUAGAAAAUGCAAAGUUAUUUUGUGCAUUGUACAGAAUUAGCAGCUGGUAUAAAAGACUUCUUGUACCUCUCAGAUUUGCACAUUGGUUCAUCAGUCUCUAGCUGAACCUUCAGGGAAUGGAGUGGAUGUGUAGGAUUGUUCAUUGCUGACCUCAGUUUGUUCAGAGUUCUGCUGGACCGUUUGUAGUUCAGCACCGACCACUGAGCUGGCCUUUUUAAUCCGCUUGUCCAGUCUGUUUUUGUCAGCUGUGAGCGCUUUCUCCCCAACAGGCCACAGCAGAAAACAGAGCAUUGGCCACCAUUAAAUGGUAGAUGUUAAAUGCCUCCUUUAGCCUCCUUAAGAAAUGCAGUUGGCUUUAUCCCUUCCUGUACACCGCGUCCAUAUGAAUCUUCCGGUCCAGUUCCCUGUCAAGAUGCACACCAAGUCACCAAAAUGGGUUACAUCUGGUCAAUCAGGUGCUGUUUGGUUGUUUGUCUGAUCAAACUGUCAGGUCCCAGGAUAUAAAUUUCUUCCUUGACCAAAAUGCAUUACACUCCCAUUUUGAAAGAGUUACCAUGGCCAAGAGUAAAGGUGGAAAAGCUCCUCUUUCAGAAUCUGUUCUGAGCAUCUACCUGUCUUUAACCCUUAAAAAGCCGGGACCAAGAAUACUCGAUUCCCGCUUACUCGUACACACAGCCCAAACCGAGCAUUCUCGGCUCAACAUGUGUGACUUGUUUAUGACUAUGAUAUAAUAUGAUUUUAAUUAACAUAAAAUAUGCACACACCCAUAUGUUUAAGUCGACCAAUGGUAAGAUAUAAACAUUGGCCCCAAAUUUGCUUAUUUCAAACGAUAAAACCAUAUGAGCCGUUAUAACGAAGCCGCAAUUACGAAAUUCUUAUCGGGGCCACGUACCGGCCAAAAUUCAAUAUCUCCGACAAUGCGACCUUGCAAGACUUGAUCGAUAUUUUUAUGGAUUAGGUGGUUUUAGUAUAUGUUUUAGUAUAUGACAGGGUUCAAGCUUUGAGUCAUUUCACUGCCAAAAUGACCAUUUUUUCGACUUUCCGUUGGAAAUUUAAAACAAAAAUUUUCUAUUGUAAAAUUUUCUCCGGAAUUCUGAUUUGAAAUCAGAAAUGCAAAAUCUCUAACCGCUUUUGAGCUACAGCCAUUUUUUCUCAGACACUUCAGGCAGAAAUUGACACAAACAUUAGCAUUCAUAUUCCUGACAUUUAUAAGUACUGUGUUGUGAAUACAUGGAAACCUUGCUUUAACUAUACCAUUUACUGACUGAACAUCUUAAGAAAUCCAUACAAAGGUCAUGUAUUUUAAAUUCAUUUCUCCAUCACUCACAUGUAUGAAAUGACAUGAAAACAGACCCCAGGUUGAAAAAAACCGAAGUUCCCCUUUAACAAAUAUUUCUUAACUAUAUUUAGUAGCGUCAGGCAGUGAGAAAGUAACAAAAGGAAUACAAAACACCUUAAUACCCCAAAAUUUGCCAGGCGGAAAUUUAAAAAAAAGAUGUAAAAUUCCAUGUUAAAAAAACUAACACUUGUUUCUGAGCAUCAAAAUCAACAAAAUAAUGUAAUCACCAUCUGCACAACAUUUUAAAGUAUACUGGGAUUGAUUUUUGAAGCUGUAUGGUCAAAAUUGCCCAAGUGUUAAUUUUUUUUAACGAGGAUCAAUAAUUUUUUUCGUAUUUUGCUUGUGUGCUUUUGGCUGACUUAAUAAAAUAUUUGUUGCUGCACAUCAUCAUUUUUGCCAGAUCCUAGAGAAUCAAAUGGUAUAUAACACUUGCAUAUAACUGUUAUAGUCCUUCCAGUAAUAUGAAAUAUAUGCUAACUUCUUACCUUAAACUUGAAUAAUAGCAAACGAUUUUGUCACUGCACCCUCUGUAAACACAGGUACUGAAAAACACCUUGGAAUACCUGCAAGCCUUAAAACUGGGUUCCAAAUUAAAGCACACAACAUGAACAAGGGAAAGGGACCUUAAAAUACCUUAUCAAAGAAGCAUUAACACAGGAUUUACUGCUUCCAUAUCAAAGUACAAAAGUUUUAGUCACCGAAAAUCAUUGUUUUUUGCCAUAAAUGGCCACAAAAAUGAUGUAAGCAUCCAACUGAGAUAAAAUAUGAUGCUUCCAUCAGAAAGCAGACAACUUUUUACCCUAGAAACAACUUUUAUAAUUUGGAAGUAUGGAAAAGUAUUCCUUACAGAAUUUUUUUACACUGGUGGCAGUAAAACAUGACUCAAUGCUUGAAGGCUGUCAUAUGUACUUCUCCAGAAACAUGGCCUUGUAAGGGUUAAGGAGGAAUGGCCACCAAACUCUCCUGACCUCAACCCCAUUGAGAACUGUUGGGGAAUCCUGAACAUCUUUACCAGUCCACCACCGACCACCAUGACACAGCUCAACUCCAGAGCUGUGUGGAAGUAGGGAAAAUAGAACCACCCACGCUCUAGAACCUCAUACAUUCCAUGCCUGAAAGACUGAGAGUCUUGAUCAAAGGGAAUUAUUGAAUAAAUUGAUUAUAUUGCACAUAUUCACUCUGAGCUUUGUUUUUCAGGGGAGAAUGAACUGUUGGGUCACAGUGUAUGCUUGGAUUGCUGUGGCAUUUGCUUUUUGCCACGCAAACACGCACUUGAGGUCAGAUACGAGGCCAGUGAUUGGAAAAAGAUGAUCUGCUUAUCAAAUACGGUGUUUUGCCUGUCUGAGCCGUGGAGAGAUUUGAAUGGAUGAUUGGAAGACUAUUCAAAACUGGCUUGUCUGCACAUAGAUCCAGAUGAUUUUCAAGGAAUAAAACGUCACAGAUGUUGUAUAAAAAAACAAUUCCUUUCAUUUCAUAGAAUUACAAACUGAAGGAGCCUCAGGUUUGCUGUCAGGAGAACGUAAACAACGCGUCUGUCGAUCAAAAAAUCAACAUUUUUGUGCGUGCAGAAAACAAAACGUUGAAUUGAUUCGGUUAUUCUGACAUGUUUUUCAAAAAAAUCUCACAGCAGAGACACAGUUAAUAAUCAUGUAGUGAAUAUAAUCGAGAACUUCACACCUAAAAAGACCAAAAUUCAUCACAGGAGUUGAUAAACAGCAAAAGGAGAGUGAAAAAGAGUGAAAAUGGACUUCUGCCAGGUGGUUAGAAGUUGUAUAGACUCACAUAUCUUAUCUGACUCGCAGUAUUUGUUGCGUUCAAGCCCUAAACAGACCUAAAUGUGCUUCGUGGAUAUCAUGAAAUUUCCUUAAUGCUUUGCUUAAGUCUUUAGUUCAGAGAGAAGCUCCAGACCUGCUGCUUUGCAUCCUGAGAUGAGUGAAAGAUUUAUCGGCUCGUAAAAUCAGGACGUAAGGAGGAACGCUGUCAUGGUUGCUCUGCAUGUCUGGUGAGGUUUUGCAUGAUGAUGUGACUGACCAUCAGAGCUGUGAUUGGUGCUGUCGGCCUCUGAAGUGAGCAUGACAUUAACUACAAACCCAGACUUUCACAGCUUGUUUCCCUGCUGCCGUCGCCUGAGGUAAGUUCUGCUGUAGAAACAGUUCUGCAGAGUCAAGUAAAGCAGUUCGCUGCCUACUGGGGCUGCAUGAAAGGUAGAUGUUACUGGAAGGACUUGCACUAGUCAUGUAGCCUGCAUCAUGGUGAAUUUGUUUAAUUUCCAAUUAAAUCUUGGACUGUAUUCGAAAGUUAGACCGUCUGCUUCACUACUUGUAUGCAAAUCAGUUGUUUGCUGCUGGUUUUCAGUUCAUUUGGUGUAGAUGAAGGUUUAGUCCACAAUUCUACAAUUUCAUUUAGGAGACAGUUUUAUCCAAAGCGGCACACAUCUGAGAGUCGAAAGAACACCAGCAAGGAUCUAGUCAGAAGAAAACAAUCCAGAUUACAGCCAUAAAACGAGUUCAAGUGUCUUUUGCACCAUACUUCUUCAUAAUCCCUAAAUAUCAUCCCAUGUCACAGUUUCCAACUGAAUUGGUAAAAAUCCAGGUAAAAACCUGGUCUGGUUCAGAAAGGAAAGAAGAGACACACCAAAGCUUCAUUUGCUUCUAGAGCAGAGUGACGAUGGUUGACAGGAAUGUAACUGCAGACAGAAAUCAAUGGCAAAUGUUGUUUUUAUGUUUAAAGAAUGUGUGUGGAGUAAGAGUGUGUGGCGUUUAUAAAUGACAGUUGUAGUGUUUUAGCUUCAUAUAUGGACUUCAGUUGUGCACUUUAGAUGGAAACAGCUGUUUGUGUGAUAUUUUAUUGGAAUUAAACAGUAAACUGCUUCAGCUAAAAGUGGUGCAGAAUGAAAUUUGAUCUGCACAUGACAGCACAUUGGAGGGUUUUUGUUUGUUUUUCAAAGCAGCUGUUAAAGACGAUCCAAUACAAUUUAGAAGCGAGCUGAAAAAAUCUUUUUUGUGGCUAACUUGAGUGAAUUGCUUCAUUUUGUAACACACGAUUGAAUUAGGUUUAUCCAAAUUAAGUUAACAAGAAAUGAAUUCCAGUGGUUUUAGCUACGUUCACUUAAAUCAUUUGACUCCAGUCCAAAGAGCAGCUCAAGUCAACUUGAAGUUUGAAUUUUUACAGUUUGCUUUACUCAGAUCUAAAAUGUAAAACAUGGUUUUGUCAUUACACAUCUAUCAUGCCGUCUUUUGUGGGGAGGAGUAAACCUCUGCAUUUUCAUUAAAAUCAGAAUACGCAUUUAAAAAAGAGAAUAUAAUGUGAUGAAAUAUGUAAUACUUUUGGGGCAACAUCUAGUGGUUCAAAAUUAAUUUAACAUUUCUGUGCUUGUUCUGACCAAAGUGUCCUCAGAUUGCAUGACAAAGUCGCAGCAGAUGUUCGUCCAGAAUUACAAACAAGCUCCAUCAGUUGACUCUCAUGUAUCACUGCUGUAUGUUUUGAAAUAAACGCUGUACAUGCAGGUAGAUGUUAAUCCUCCUGGAGACUUCAUUUAAUCCGUGCACAUUUCUGAAAACAGGUGCAGACAAACAACACUGUAGUGUCAGCUCAUAAAAUGUACACGUGGAGUGGUUUCUAUGGACAACGCUCUUUAAAAAUUAAAGCUGUGAAGAAUCCAGUGGUGUCCUGCUUUAACACUCUUUCUAGACCAGGGGUCGGCAACCCGCGGCUCCGGAGCCGCAUGCGGCUCUUUUAGCCCUCUGUUGUGGCUCCCUGUAACUUUGGAAAAUAAAUUGUUCUGCCUUUCAGGCGCGUUUCAAUGCGUUUUAAUACAGAGAAUUUUAUUAUGAAAUUACCGCUCUUAUAUUGACGUGUCACUCCACCGGAUGUGCUGCUGGGGUUUUUCCCCCGGGACAUGAGAGCGCAAAAGUGAUGCAGAGAAGAUGGAGAAGCAACGCCUGUAGUUUCACAUCGUUUUGUACUCAAGAAUGGCAAGCCUGUAUAUUAAAGCUCCACUCCAAAGACACGUGUUGUCUUUGAGUUAAAAGUACUCAUGAUAGGGUAAUACACGUUACUCACAAGAACACGGCUCGAUGUCCAGGCAGCAGGUCAGAGAGUCAGAGGAGUGUCGUCUUGGAAAAUAGGGCAGCGACUUACCGGAGAAAAGUUAUUAGCUUAAGAUAAAUAGAUAAAUAGAUUUUACAAUAGACAUUCGAAAAAUAUUGAGUUCCAGCUAACAUUGGGUCCAGGAGCAAAAAUGACAUUAACCAAGUAAGAUAAAUAUUAGUGGAAGGACACAAUUUAAAAAAAUGAAUCUAUCUAAUUAGAGGCUUUGUAAUUAAUUAAUCACGACUGAUUAACAAGGACAUAGAGGUAAAAAAAGCGAUAUAUGCAGUGUUGUCUUCAUUUUAAAUGCCAAAAGGAUUUUGCGGCUCCCGGUGUUUUUUUUUUUUCUGUGGGAAACUGGUCAAAAUGGCUCUUUAAGUGUUAAAGGUUGCCGACUCCUGUUCUAGACCAUAAUAUACAAUUCAACAUCACCUUACAGAGCAUAUUACACAUCCAGGAGAGUUCCAGAUGUUUUUACUUUAAGAGGCUUUUUAGAUCUAAUUAUAUACACUUUUUCUAUGUUUUGUAGAGUCCUAUUUGUUUCAUUUUAGACAAUAUUUUUACAAAAUAUUUUCUUUCUUGAAUUUGGAAUUUUAUGCUUUUUUUAAUCUUACUAAAAAUGUAUUUAUGAAUUAAAAUAUAUUGCAUUUUGUGUGUGUUUUGGGGUGUUCGAUGUUUCCUAACUUGAUCAUCUGUCCCAGAUCAUCAUCGUUCAGAGAUUUGUAUGUGCAGGGGGACAUUUUUAAAUAAUACAGUACAUGUUUUAGAAGAUCUUAAACAAAGCACAGCAAAUAGGAAAACAUAGUGGGAGUGUGUCUUUCUCACUCUGAGGGUUUCUCUCUUUCUGUGUCUCUUUCAUGGAUGUGAAUGUUUAGUUUCUCCUGCAUCAGUCCAGCUGCAGAAGACACGAUGAAGAAGAUGUACAUUCUUGUCCUCCUGCUGCUCCUCCUCAGUCCUGGAUGUGGGAAUAGGAUGAAUUAUAUACGUUACGCUGGCAGUAAUGGGACAAGCUGGGCUGAAGCACAGGACUUCUGCAGGACCCACCACACUGACCUGGUCACAAUCAGAGACGCAACUGAGAAUGAGAACUAUUACUGGGGAGUAGGCUGGAUUGGACUGUACCGAGAGGAUGCAACAAGUCCAUGGAAAUGGUCCAGAAGAGACAAGAUAGCCACCUUCACCAACUGGGAAACAGAUCCACUCCCAGAUGAAAACUGUGCUUUCAAGCGUCCUGGUACAGAAAAAUGGAAAGCCCAUGGAUGUAAUGUCAAUCGUUCCUUCAUGUGUUCUGAUGAGAAGAUGUUCCUGGUGAAGGAGAAGAAGACAUGGGAGGAGGCCUUAGAGCACUGCAGGUCUCUGGAGGCUGUGGACCCAAAUGAGGCAACCGCUCCUUACCAGAACCACCUCUAUGACUUGGCCACCCUGAUCACUCCGGAAGACCACGCUCUCGCUCAAGAGAUAGCACAAGAAGCUACCACUAGAGAGGUGUGGACCGGUCUGCGUUACCUGGCCGAUCAGUGGGUGUGGGUGAGCGGAGAACCGGUGACGUAUGAGACGAUUCCAAACUGUCCGGGUUCCAAGUCCUGUGGUGUCAUGGAAAAGAAUGGAAACGCAUCUUUCGAGACACAGAACUGCGACAAGAGAAAGAACUUUCUUUGUUCUUGGUGGCCUUAAACAGUAGCGGCAUGUUUCUAAGUACACUCACUCAAGUUCUGACUUUAAGUACAAAUUUGAGGUAUCUUUCUGAUAUAAGAUUCAGUACUUAUCUGCUGCUACAUGUCAGAGGCUAAUAUUAGACUUAAUACUCCACUAUGUUUGUCUAACUGCUGUAGUUACUAUGCAAAUUAAGUUUUCUUAGACACAAAGCAGUACUCCCAUAUUCCCUCAUUUGGUGUUUUGAUGACGGUGGUGGAGAGUGAUGUCUGACACAUCAGUGACUCCUCAGUAGGUGGAGAUAUUGUCAUCUUGGAGGAGAUCGGUUUAGGAUGAAACUUUCCAUACGUCUUUGCUUCUUAUUUGUUCUCUACAUUUUGAAUGUUUAGUGUGACGUUUAUAUAAUACUUCGUUGAAAGAUUCUCACAAAUAGUCACAAUAAAGACCCAGUUUCACAUCGAAACUUCUAAUUAUGAGGUAUUUCCUUGGUAUCUUCAUAUUUUUUUAGAUAGUUUUGAUUUAUUCCCUGAAUACAGUGUGCUUCCAUGCUGACCCACACAGCAAAAAGAUUUCCGCUAAAACUGUUGCCUAAAUAAGUUGCAGUAAAAAUGACAUGAUCACCGUGCACGUGGUCAUUUGUGGACCUGAUCCCACCCAAUCUGCAGCUUCUUCCUGAGCAGCCCGCAUCAGUAGCUCUUUGUUUUGUGAGCUUCCUGGAACGUUACUGCUGAUGUUAACUUUGAUUUAUUCAAAUAUCUGUGAACUGUUUGAGACCAUCCUUCCUGUAGCAGCUGUUCAUUUUACAUCAUAUUCAUUAUGUAGUGGGUCAGCAUCACUCAUAGUAACCAAUGUCUUUGACUCUAUACAAGGGUUUUGUUUUGACACCUAAGAAUAGUUUAGUCAAUUAUGUCCUCUUUUACUCAAGUUUGGUUUUUCAACAAGGUAACUGUGAUCAUAAGUUGAUAGAAAAUAGUCUGUAGGUGAAAUGAUUUGACUUCUACAGUAGCAUAUUUCCUUUUGUUGUCAUUUUGUAUUUAGAAUUGCAUUUAUUAGCCUAACGAUGGUCCUAAAAACAAUAAAUGGCAUAAAACCAAUGAUUCCACUGAUGCAAUAGUUUUAUGUGAGUCCUUGUUUCCCUAAAGAAGUAGCGAGAGCAAAGUUAGCAUCACCAGCAGAGUUCCAAAGCAACAUUUGUGGAAAAUAUGUACUGGAACAUUUAAACAGACUGAAUAUAAUGUUUUAGUUGCAUAAUAUUAAUUUUCAUGAACUAGUUUAAUCCUGUUUCUCUGCGAACUUGAGACUGAAAAAAAUAUAAUGUGCGACUCUAUGCAAAUAUGUUGUUAAUUAUUAGGUUCAGUGACAUAAAGAAUAAUAAGUUAAUCAAUAUUUUGUUGCCAGUGUAAUUUGAAGUAUUGAAAGGUUGGGAAAAAAUGGCAAAAUUUGAAACUUUUACUUUCCUUCUUAAUAAUCAAAAAACUUCACAAAUCAAUAAUUGUUAUACCACCAAUUCAAAAAAAUAAUCAGAAAUUAAUUGUUUAGAAUCUAUUAAGCCAAAUGAAGAUUAUCACCACGUUUAUAUUAUUAUUUAUCUUUCCACGUUUUGGGGUUAAACUGCAGAAGAAUCUCUCAUCUCUUUGCUGUGAUUCAGGAAGUGUUGGUUUGGAACUGCUGGUAACCUUCCACCACGGUCACCAGGGGGCGCUAGGACAAUUCAGAAAAUCAUACAUCAGUGGGAUGAGACACACUUUUUCUGGUUCAGACUAAUAUAUAAUGUGGAGAUUUCCUAACCUGCAUCCCUGUUUGCUUAACUGAUCAAAUUCAACCGCUGAAAUAAACUUUUAACCACCUUAUGUUUGUUUACCACUGAGA
Molecule: long non-coding RNA, 9143 nt
Organism: Acanthochromis polyacanthus (spiny chromis)
Lineage: Eukaryota; Metazoa; Chordata; Actinopteri; Pomacentridae
Exons: 3
Source: RefSeq, a predicted model, not a curated record